RNAcentral lists this ribosomal RNA (917 nucleotides) under Lactobacillus johnsonii. RNAcentral's name for it is "bacterial SSU rRNA". It matches the Rfam family "Bacterial small subunit ribosomal RNA", at positions 36 to 917 of the family's 1533-position model. The record is from RNAcentral. Lineage: Bacteria; Bacillati; Bacillota; Bacilli; Lactobacillales; Lactobacillaceae.
CUGGCGGCGUGCCUAUACAUGCAAGUCGAGCGAGCUUGCCUAGAUGAUUUUAGUGACUGCACUAAAUGAAACUAGAUACAAGCGAGCGGCGGACGGGUUGAGUAACACGUGGGUAACCUGCCCAAGAGACUGGGAUAACACCUGGAAACAGAUGCUAAUACCGGAUAACAACACUAGACGCAUGUCUAGAGUUUGAAAGAUGGUUCUGCUAUCACUCUUGGAUGGACCUGCGGUGCAUUAGCUAGUUGGGUAGGGAUGUGUCUUACCAAGGCGAUGAUGCAUAGCCGAGUUGAGAGACUGAUCGGCCACAUUGGGACUGAGACACGGCCCAAACUCCUACGGGAGGCAGCAGUAGGGAAUCUUCCACAAUGGACGAAAGUCUGAUGGAGCAACGCCGCGUGAGUGAAGAAGGGUUUCGGCUCGUAAAGCUCUGUUGGUAGUGAAGAAAGAUAGAGGUAGUAACUGGCCUUUAUUUGACGGUAAUUACUUAGAAAGUCACGGCUAACUACGUGCCAGCAGCCGCGGUAAUACGUAGGUGGCAAGCGUUGUCCGGAUUUAUUGGGCGUAAAGCGAGUGCAGGCGGUUCAUAAGUCUGAUGUGAAAGCCUUCGGCUCAACCGGAGAAUUGCAUCAGAAACUGUUGAACUUGAGUGCAGAAGAGGAGAGUGGAACUCCAUGUGUAGCGGUGGAAUGCGUAGAUAUAUGGAAGAACACCAGUGGCGAAGGCGGCUCUCUGGUCUGCACUGACGCUGAGCUCGAAAGCAUGGGUAGCGAACAGGAUUAGAUACCCUGGUAGUCCAUGCCGUAAACGAUGAGUGCUAAGUGUUGGGAGGUUUCCGCCUCUCAGUGCUGCAGCUAACGCAUUAAGCACUCCGCCCUGGGGAGUACGACCGCAAGGUGAACUCAAAGGAUGACGGG